CCCUUAGAUGUUCUGGGCUGCACGCGCGCUACACUGAUGCGUUCAACGAGUUUAUCACCUUGCCCGAUAGGGUUGGGUAAUCUUUUGAAAAUGCAUCGUGAUGGGGAUAGAUUAUUGCAAUUAUUAAUCUUCAACGAGGAAUUCCUAGUAAGCGCGAGUCAUCAGCUCGUGCUGAUUACGUCCCUGCCCUUUGUACACACCGCCCGUCGCUCCUACCGAUUGAGUGCUCAGGUGAAUAAUUCGGACUGCAGCAAUGUUUGGAUCCCGAACGUUGCAGCGGAAAGUUUAGUGAACCUUAUCACUUAGAGGAAGGAGAAGUCGUAACA
RNAcentral lists this ribosomal RNA (326 nucleotides) under uncultured eukaryote. RNAcentral's name for it is "partial 18S ribosomal RNA". It matches the Rfam family "Eukaryotic small subunit ribosomal RNA", at positions 1470 to 1796 of the family's 1831-position model. The record is from RNAcentral.